AGCGUACACGGUGGAUGCCCUGGCAGUCAGAGGCGAUGAAGGACGUGCUAAUCUGCGAAAAGCGUCGGUAAGGUGAUAUGAACCGUUACAGCCGGCGAUGUCCGAAUGGGGAAACCCAGUGCAAUUCGUUGCACUAUCGUUAACUGAAUACAUAGGUUAACGAGGCGAACCGGGGGAACUGAAACAUCUAAGUACCCCGAGGAAAAGAAAUCAACCGAGAUUCCCCCAGUAGCGGCGAGCGAACGGGGAGCAGCCCAGAGUCUGAAUCAGCUUGUGUGUUAGUGGAACGGUCUGGAAAGUCCGACGGUACAGGGUGAUAGUCCCGUACACCAAAAUGCACAGGUUGUGAACUCGAAGAGUAGGGCGGGACACGUGGUAUCCUGUCUGAAUAUGGGGGGACCAUCCUCCAAGGCUAAAUACUCCUGACUGACCGAUAGUGAACCAGUACCGUGAGGGAAAGGCGAAAAGAACCCCGGCGAGGGGAGUGAAAAAGAACCUGAAACCGUGUACGUACAAGCAGUGGGAGCACCUUCGGGUGUGACUGCGUACCUUUUGUAUAAUGGGUCAGCGACUUAUAUUCUGUAGCAAGGUUAACCGUAUAGGGGAGCCGCAGGGAAACCGAGUCUUAACUGGGCGUUAAGUUGCAGGGUAUAGACCCGAAACCCGGUGAUCUAGCCAUGGGCAGGUUGAAGGUUGGGUAACACUAACUGGAGGACCGAACCGACUAAUGUUGAAAAAUUAGCGGAUGACUUGUGGCUGGGGGUGAAAGGCCAAUCAAACCGGGAGAUAGCUGGUUCUCCCCGAAAGCUAUUUAGGUAGCGCCUCGUGAAUUCAUCUUCGGGGGUAGAGCACUGUUUCGGCUAGGGGGUCAUCCCGACUUACCAACCCGAUGCAAACUACGAAUACCGAAGAAUGUUAUCACGGGAGACACACGGCGGGUGCUAACGUCCGUCGUGAAGAGGGAAACAACCCAGACCGCCAGCUAAGGUCCCAAAGUCACAGUUAAGUGGGAAACGAUGUGGGAAGGCACAGACAGCCAGGAUGUUGGCUUAGAAGCAGCCAUCAUUUAAAGAAAGCGUAAUAGCUCACUGGUCGAGUCGGCCUGCGCGGAAGAUGUAACGGGGCUAAACUGUGCACCGAAGCUGCGGCAGCGACACUUAGGUGUUGUUGGGUAGGGGAGCGUUCUGUAAGCCUGCGAAGGUGGCCUGUGAGGGUUGCUGGAGGUAUCAGAAGUGCGAAUGCUGACAUAAGUAACGAUAAUGCGGGUGAAAAGCCCGCACGCCGGAAGACCAAGGGUUCCUGUCCAACGUUAAUCGGGGCAGGGUGAGUCGACCCCUAAGGCGAGGCCGAAAGGCGUAGUCGAUGGGAAACAGGUUAAUAUUCCUGUACUUGGUGUUACUGCGAAGGGGGGACGGAGAAGGCUAUGUUAGCCGGGCGACGGUUGUCCCGGUUUAAGCAUGUAGGCGGAGGUUCCAGGUAAAUCCGGUACCUUUUAACGCUGAGGUGUGAUGACGAGGCACUACGGUGCUGAAGUAACAAAUGCCCUGCUUCCAGGAAAAGCCUCUAAGCAUCAGGUAACAUUAAAUCGUACCCCAAACCGACACAGGUGGUCAGGUAGAGAAUACCAAGGCGCUUGAGAGAACUCGGGUGAAGGAACUAGGCAAAAUGGUGCCGUAACUUCGGGAGAAGGCACGCUGAUAUGUAGGUGAAGCCCCUGCGGGUGGAGCUGAAAUCAGUCGAAGAUACCAGCUGGCUGCAACUGUUUAUUAAAAACACAGCACUGUGCAAACACGAAAGUGGACGUAUACGGUGUGACGCCUGCCCGGUGCCGGAAGGUUAAUUGAUGGGGUUAUCCGUAAGGAGAAGCUCUUGAUCGAAGCCCCGGUAAACGGCGGCCGUAACUAUAACGGUCCUAAGGUAGCGAAAUUCCUUGUCGGGUAAGUUCCGACCUGCACGAAUGGCGUAAUGAUGGCCAGGCUGUCUCCACCCGAGACUCAGUGAAAUUGAACUCGCUGUGAAGAUGCAGUGUACCCGCGGCAAGACGGAAAGACCCCGUGAACCUUUACUAUAGCUUGACACUGAACAUUGAGCCUUGAUGUGUAGGAUAGGUGGGAGGCUUUGAAGCGUGGACGCCAGUCUGCGUGGAGCCAACCUUGAAAUACCACCCUUUAAUGUUUGAUGUUCUAACGUUGGCCCCUUAUCGGGGUUGCGGACAGUGUCUGGUGGGUAGUUUGACUGGGGCGGUCUCCUCCCAAAGAGUAACGGAGGAGCACGAAGGUUAGCUAAUCCUGGUCGGACAUCAGGAGGUUAGUGCAAUGGCAUAAGCUAGCUUGACUGCGAGCGUGACGGCGCGAGCAGGUGCGAAAGCAGGUCAUAGUGAUCCGGUGGUUCUGAAUGGAAGGGCCAUCGCUCAACGGAUAAAAGGUACUCCGGGGAUAACAGGCUGAUACCGCCCAAGAGUUCAUAUCGACGGCGGUGUUUGGCACCUCGAUGUCGGCUCAUCACAUCCUGGGGCUGAAGUAGGUCCCAAGGGUAUGGCUGUUCGCCAUUUAAAGUGGUACGCGAGCUGGGUUUAGAACGUCGUGAGACAGUUCGGUCCCUAUCUGCCGUGGGCGCUGGAGAAUUGAGGGGGGCUGCUCCUAGUACGAGAGGACCGGAGUGGACGCAUCACUGGUGUUCGGGUUGUCAUGCCAAUGGCAUUGCCCGGUAGCUAAAUGCGGAAGAGAUAAGUGCUGAAAGCAUCUAAGCACGAAACUUGCCCCGAGAUGAGUUCU
This 2774-nucleotide ribosomal RNA is filed under the name Klebsiella aerogenes. Its description in RNAcentral is "bacterial LSU rRNA". It matches the Rfam family "Bacterial large subunit ribosomal RNA". Lineage: Bacteria; Pseudomonadati; Pseudomonadota; Gammaproteobacteria; Enterobacterales; Enterobacteriaceae. The record is from RNAcentral.